This 117-nucleotide ribosomal RNA is filed under the name Chloroflexota bacterium. The record is from RNAcentral. RNAcentral also lists the same sequence under 2 other names. Lineage: Bacteria; Bacillati; Chloroflexota.
UUCGGUGACGAUAGCAAAGAGGCAACACCCGUUCCCAUCCCGAACACGGAAGUAAAGCUCUUUAGCGCCGAUGGUACUGCUCGGGCAGCCGGGUGGGAGAGUAGGACGUUGCCGAAA